UGGUUCUGGCAUCGAUGAAGAACGCAGCGAAAUGCGAUAAGUAAUGCGAAUUGCAGAAUUUCCGUGAGUCAUCGAAUCUUUGAACGCACAUUGCGCCCUUUGGCAUUCCGAAGGGCAUGCCUGUUCGAGCGUCAUUAUCCUCUCUCAAACCCCGGGUUUGGUGUUGGAUCGAGUUGGACCGCCUCCCAAUGGCCCAACUGGUCUCAAAGACAAUGACGGCGUCCCAGGGACCCUCUUCGCACUGAGCUUUCCGGAGCACGCGUUGAGUUUAAAAGGGCCCGAGGACCCGGUCGCCUCUAUUAUUUUUCAGGUUGACCUCGGAUCAGGUAGGAAUACCCGCUGA
Molecule: unclassified non-coding RNA, 343 nt
Filed under: uncultured fungus
Lineage: Eukaryota; Fungi
Description: partial contains 5.8S ribosomal RNA and internal transcribed spacer 2
Rfam family: 5.8S ribosomal RNA (bases 1-134)
Source: RNAcentral